UACGUAGGGGGCAAGCGUUAUCCGGAUUCACUGGGCGUAAAGGGAGCGCAGGCGGCGCGGCAAGUCUGAUGUGAAAGCCCGGGGCUCAACCCCGGGUCUGCAUUGGAAACUGUCGAGCUAGAGUGUCGGGGGGGUAAGCGGAAUUCCUAGUGUAGCGGUGAAAUGCGUAGAUAUUAGGAGGAACACCAGUGGCGAAGGCGGCUUACUGGACUGUAACUGACACUGAGGCUCGAAAGCGUGGGGAGCAAACA
RNAcentral lists this ribosomal RNA (251 nucleotides) under uncultured bacterium. RNAcentral describes it as "partial 16S ribosomal RNA". It matches the Rfam family "Bacterial small subunit ribosomal RNA", at positions 524 to 774 of the family's 1533-position model. The record is from RNAcentral.